Molecule: ribosomal RNA, 513 nt
Filed under: Marinomonas sp. DYW22
Lineage: Bacteria; Pseudomonadati; Pseudomonadota; Gammaproteobacteria; Oceanospirillales; Oceanospirillaceae
Description: bacterial SSU rRNA
Rfam family: Bacterial small subunit ribosomal RNA
Source: RNAcentral
UGUGAAGAAGGCCUUAGGGUUGUAAAGCACUUUCAGCAGUGAGGAAAGGUUGGCCGUUAAUACCGGUCAGCUGUGACGUUAACUGCAGAAGAAGCACCGGCUAAUUCCGUGCCAGCAGCCGCGGUAAUACGGAAGGUGCAAGCGUUAAUCGGAAUUACUGGGCGUAAAGCGCGCGUAGGUGGCUAGGUCAGUCAGAUGUGAAAGCCCCGGGCUCAACCUGGGAACUGCACCUGAUACUGCCUGGCUAGAGUACGGUAGAGGGUAGUGGAAUUUCCUGUGUAGCGGUGAAAUGCGUAGAUAUAGGAAGGAACACCAGUGGCGAAGGCGACUACCUGGACCGAUACUGACACUGAGGUGCGAAAGCGUGGGGAGCAAACAGGAUUAGAUACCCUGGUAGUCCACGCCGUAAACGAUGUCUACUAGCCGUUGGGGGACUUGAUCCUUUAGUGGCGCAGCUAACGCGAUAAGUAGACCGCCUGGGGAGUACGGCCGCAAGGUUAAAACUCAAUAAAA